AAAUCUUUGAACGCAAAUUGCGCUCUUGGGUAGCCCUAGGAGCACGCCUCUCUCAGUAUCGGUUCCAACACCUCUCAGCAGCGUUGUGAAAGCAAUGCGCGCUGGAAAAUGAGAGUCAAUAGACUUGUGCUAUCGUCUCUUGAAAUACAUCGAGUGAGUGUACUGUCCUUCUCAGCUUGUGUUUCGGCACAAUAGCUUGGAUUCGACUGUGUUACAUAAGUGACGUGAAUACUGACCCUUGUGGUCUCAUUUCUACGUCGAUCUUGUGUUUCACAUAUAGUUGAGCUCAAGUGAACGAGUUGGUGAGUCCCUUACGGAACGCGGCAUUCGUGCUGCAAUCGAUUGCAAGCAAUUGUAAUCUGAAUUUUGAUCUGAGAUGAAGCGAGACAACCCCCUGAAUUUAAGCAUAUUAAUAAGGGGAGGAAAAGAAACUAACAAGGAUUCCCCCAGUAACGGCGAGUGAAGCGGGAAGAGCUCAAUUUGAAAAUCGACUUCCUAAGCGGGACGUCGAGUUGUAGCCUAGAGACGCACUAUCAGCUUCAACCUGGGUAUAAGUUCUUUGGAAUGAGGCAUCAUAGAGGGUGAGAAUCCCGUAUAUGACCCAAAGCUUGAAGCGUACGAUGANNGUUCCUCGAGUCGAGUUGUUUGGGAUUGCAGCUCUAAAUGGGUGGUAAGUUCUCAAG
RNAcentral lists this ribosomal RNA (683 nucleotides) under Sandona ubiquita. RNAcentral describes it as "eukaryotic LSU rRNA". The stretch from base 368 to 683 matches the Rfam family "Eukaryotic large subunit ribosomal RNA", at positions 1 to 314 of the family's 3401-position model. The record is from RNAcentral. Lineage: Eukaryota; Cercozoa; Glissomonadida; Sandonidae.